UACGUAGGGUGCGAGCGUUGUCCGGAAUUAUUGGGCGUAAAGAGCUCGUAGGCGGUGUGUCGCGUCGGCCGUGAAAACCUGCAGCUUAACUGUGGGCUUGCGGUCGAUACGGGCAUCACUGGAGUUCGGCAGGGGAGACUGGAAUUCCUGGUGUAGCGGUGAAAUGCGCAGAUAUCAGGAGGAACACCGGUGGCGAAGGCGGAUCUCUGGGCCUUACCUGACGCUGAGACGCGAAAGCUAGGGGAGCGAACAGG
This 254-nucleotide ribosomal RNA is filed under the name uncultured bacterium. Its description in RNAcentral is "partial 16S ribosomal RNA". It matches the Rfam family "Bacterial small subunit ribosomal RNA", at positions 524 to 776 of the family's 1533-position model. The record is from RNAcentral.